RNAcentral lists this ribosomal RNA (201 nucleotides) under uncultured bacterium. RNAcentral describes it as "partial 16S ribosomal RNA". It matches the Rfam family "Bacterial small subunit ribosomal RNA", at positions 28 to 228 of the family's 1533-position model. The record is from RNAcentral.
GACGAACGCUGGCGGCGUGCUUAACACAUGCAAGUCGAGCGGUAAGGCCUGCUUCGGUGGGUACACGAGCGGCGAACGGGUGAGUAACACGUGGGUGACCUGCCCUCAGCUCUGGGAUAAGCCUGGGAAACCGGGUCUAAUACCGGAUAUGACUCCAUGACGCAUGUUGUGGGGUGGAAAGCCUUGUGCGGCUGAGGAUGG